Ribosomal RNA from Pan troglodytes (chimpanzee), 109 nucleotides. The record is from Ensembl. Lineage: Eukaryota; Metazoa; Chordata; Mammalia; Primates; Hominidae.
UACUGCCAUACCACCCUGAACGUGCCAGAUCCCAUCUGAUCUCGGAAGCUAAGCAGGGACAGGCCUGUAAUCCUGUGAUUACAGGCCUGUCCACAGGAUGUUCCAGUGA